GGUACCGUCAAGCUCCCUCACGAGGGAGUGUUUCUUCCCGUAUAAAAGCAGUUUACAAUCCAUAGGACCGUCUUCCUGCACGCGGCAUGGCUGGGUCAGGCUUGCGCCCAUUGCCCAAUAUUCCUCACUGCUGCCUCCCGUAGGAGUA
This 148-nucleotide ribosomal RNA is filed under the name uncultured Bacteroidota bacterium. RNAcentral's name for it is "uncultured Bacteroidetes bacterium partial 16S ribosomal RNA". The record is from RNAcentral. Lineage: Bacteria; Pseudomonadati; Bacteroidota.